RNAcentral lists this unclassified non-coding RNA (943 nucleotides) under Stegodyphus dumicola. RNAcentral's name for it is "uncharacterized LOC118195368, transcript variant X1". The record is from RNAcentral. Lineage: Eukaryota; Metazoa; Arthropoda; Arachnida; Araneae; Eresidae.
GUGCAGUGUUUAGCGUUUUCAUGUCCGCCUUUUUCUCCAUCAUCUGUUACAGAGUGAAUGGCCGUGGGAGUUACUUUCAAACAUAUUUUUCACCAAGUAUCAUUUGAAGUCAAGGUUUCAUUCGCUGGAGCGACAUAAGUGUUACCAAAUAGUAUUAUACUACUUCGGUCAUUCUUGAAAAAGAAACCAACCCAGUAUUAUUCACCCUUGACCGCAAAGUAGCGCGUGGUCAACCGACUCUCGACCCUGACCCAUGCCAAGAAGAUUCUGUUCUCAUCUCACCUUGGACUCUUCUGACCGGUGACUUCCAUCCGAUCGAAUGAAAUGUCCGUGACCUGGUUCCACAAUGACCCACAGGAAGAAGAGGUAUUAAAAGCGAAAGUUGAUGUCUGAUGCAAUUACCUUUAAGGCUCGUGAUCUAGAAACGGCGACCGUUCCGGUGCAACUGCAGGUAAAAAGCGAAAAGUUCCUGAAUGAAUUUUUGCAUUCAGCAAUUGCGACUCUUGAAACUUCGAACAAGAACUUUGAUAAAACUACGAAGCACUGAAUUUUGGUUUUGAAGUCUAGUACAGAAGCAUGAUUAUGUCAGAUCAGUUUUUCUGUCGACGUCAGUGAAAACAAAUUCAAACCUCCCUCACACAUACCAUGUCCCUCCCACGUACCAAAAAUAGCUUCUCGGACAGACGAGUUACUUUACCGACAUCCCACUAGAAAGAACAGGCGGAGAAGAAACAGGAAAGAGGCUCAAAACUCACUGUAGGUUUAAGGAGACUAACUGAGUGCGAUUGAGCAGUUUUUGGAGGUUGAUUUUCUCCUAUUUUCUUUAUAUCGCCGAUUAUACUUAAUUCAGUAUCGAAAAAGAGGAUAUUAAAUAAUCAUUGUUAUUUCAUUUUUCUUUUCAAAUGGAUGUAAAAUCAGAAUAAAAAAACGAAGAUAAAAUUUA